CUAGUCUGGGGGCUGCAGCGCGGGUUGGUGUCCCCGGAUCGCCUCUCGGUGUAGAAGCUGGUCAUCUCUCCGACCCGUCUUGAAACACGGACCAAGGAGUUUAGCGUAUGCGCGAGUCAUUGGGUGUUAAAACUCACAGGCGCAAUGAAAGUGAAGGCUCGGUCGCC
This 167-nucleotide ribosomal RNA is filed under the name Mesocriconema xenoplax. RNAcentral's name for it is "5.8S ribosomal RNA". It matches the Rfam family "Eukaryotic large subunit ribosomal RNA", at positions 575 to 744 of the family's 3401-position model. The record is from RNAcentral. Lineage: Eukaryota; Metazoa; Nematoda; Chromadorea; Rhabditida; Criconematidae.